ACAAGACAAUGCACAUAAUCAUAGUCAUCCUCAAAGUUCCAUUGUGAUGCUGUUGGGAAACCCUGAUCUAAAGAAACAUCAGGCCGGGCGCGGUGGCUCACGCCUGUAUGGGAGGCCGAGGCGGGUGGAUCACGAGGUCAGGAGAUCGAGACCACGGUGAAACCCCGUCUCUACUAAAAAUACAAAAAAAAUUUUAGCCGGGCGCGGUGGCGGGCGCCUGUAGCCCCAGCUACUCGGGAGGCUGAGCCAGGAGAAUGGCGUGAACCCGGGAGGCAGAGCUUGCAGUGAGCCGAGAUCGUGCCACGGCACUCCAGCCUGGGCAACAGAGCGAGACUCCAUCUUAAAAAAAAAAAAGAAACAUCAGUGGAAGAGGAAGAAACUGCAGGUACAGGAAUAAACUUACGUGAUCCUCAUUUCAAGGAGAAGAAGGAGAAGUUGAAGAAGGAGGAGAAGGAGAAGGAUGAGAAGAAAAACAAGAAGAGGAAGGAGAAGGAGGAGGAAAAUGAGAAGGAGAAGAAGAGAAGGAACAGCAGCAGUUGCAGGAGGAGGAGAAAGAGGAGGAGGAGGAGAACGGAGUGUGCAGAAGCUGGGGGGGAUUCCAAUGUUGGAAGCAUUUUUAGCAUACAACAACAUCCAAGUGGAUUACUAUGAAUGCCUAGACCUCUAUGGCAAACAGUACUUAUACUAUUAUGAAACGGUCAAGAGAUGA
RNAcentral lists this long non-coding RNA (709 nucleotides) under Pan paniscus (pygmy chimpanzee). RNAcentral's name for it is "lncRNA (ENSPPAG00000044384.1)". The record is from RNAcentral. Lineage: Eukaryota; Metazoa; Chordata; Mammalia; Primates; Hominidae.